GUCAAAACAAACCGACUGUAGCGGACAGGCGGCGUUUACUGAUGCCUCCUACUCGCGUGCAAGUCCACGAGAGUGUCAUACAGCUAGUCUUGUUACCAAAUAAUACUCGUAGUUGUAGUGAAUUCACAGGUUUUGUACACGGUUAACGGCCUACCUUCCGAUAUUGGCUCUGCUAGGAGAUGAGGUCCACGGAGUUGCUCUAGGCCGACCGUAUCCACCCCUGUUCUUCGACGCUAAUUUCUUCCUGCCAUUCAAGGACAUGUUUGAGAGGUGCAGCCGCGCGCCCAGUUUACUACUUGGAAAGUCAGCUGUCAUUUUGGACCCUUUCAAGUGAAACACAGUGACACCUUCUGGUUUGGCGUGAUAGGCCUACACUCAGACGGCAUGAGUA
Molecule: long non-coding RNA, 391 nt
Organism: Engraulis encrasicolus (European anchovy)
Lineage: Eukaryota; Metazoa; Chordata; Actinopteri; Clupeiformes; Engraulidae
Exons: 3
Source: RefSeq, a predicted model, not a curated record